CGGAGGUGCAAGCGUUAAUCGGAAUUACUGGGCGUAAAGCGUACGUAGGUGGUUUGUUAAGCCAGCUGUGAAAUCCCCGGGCUCAACCUGGGCACUGCAGUUGGAACUGGCAAGCUAGAGUAGGGUAGAGGGGUGUGGAAUUCCAGGUGUAGCGGUGAAAUGCGUAGAUAUCUGGAGGAACAUCAGUGGCGAAGGCGACACCCUGGACUCAUACUGACACUGAGGUACGAAAGCGUGGGGAGCAAACAGGAUU
Molecule: ribosomal RNA, 253 nt
Filed under: uncultured bacterium
Lineage: Bacteria
Description: partial 16S ribosomal RNA
Rfam family: Bacterial small subunit ribosomal RNA
Source: RNAcentral